GACUGACCGAUAGUGAACCAGUACCGUGAGGGAAAGGCGAAAAGAACCCCGGCGAGGGGAGUGAAAAAGAACCUGAAACCGUGUACGUACAAGCAGUGGGAGCCCCACCACUAAGCCAGUGGUGAACUCCACAUACGCAUCCUUUGCUGAGGAUACGGUUAACGGAGCGAAAGCGACGUUCAACCGCAAAAGAAGCAGAGGGGGCUUAGUGGUGGGGUGACUGCGUACCUUUUGUAUAAUGGGUCAGCGACUUAUAUUCUGUAGCAAGGUUAACCGAAUAGGGGAGCCGGAGGGAAACCGAGUCUUAACCUGGCAGUUC
Molecule: ribosomal RNA, 319 nt
Filed under: Salmonella enterica subsp. enterica serovar Javiana
Lineage: Bacteria; Pseudomonadati; Pseudomonadota; Gammaproteobacteria; Enterobacterales; Enterobacteriaceae
Description: bacterial LSU rRNA
Rfam family: Bacterial large subunit ribosomal RNA
Source: RNAcentral